Molecule: ribosomal RNA, 1346 nt
Filed under: uncultured bacterium
Lineage: Bacteria
Description: partial 16S ribosomal RNA
Rfam family: Bacterial small subunit ribosomal RNA
Source: RNAcentral
GACGAACGCUGGCGGCGUGCUUAACACAUGCAAGUCGAACGGAAAGGCCCUGCUUUUGUGGGGUGCUCGAGUGGCGAACGGGUGAGUAACACGUGAGUAACCUGCCCUUGACUUUGGGAUAACUUCAGGAAACUGGGGCUAAUACCGGAUAGGAGCUCCUGCUGCAUGGUGGGGGUUGGAAAGUUUCGGCGGUUGGGGAUGGACUCGCGGCUUAUCAGCUUGUUGGUGGGGUAGUGGCUUACCAAGGCUUUGACGGGUAGCCGGCCUGAGAGGGUGACCGGCCACAUUGGGACUGAGAUACGGCCCAGACUCCUACGGGAGGCAGCAGUGGGGAAUAUUGCACAAUGGGCGGAAGCCUGAUGCAGCAACGCCGCGUGCGGGAUGACGGCCUUCGGGUUGUAAACCGCUUUCGCCUGUGACGAAGCGUGAGUGACGGUAAUGGGUAAAGAAGCACCGGCUAACUACGUGCCAGCAGCCGCGGUGAUACGUAGGGUGCGAGCGUUGUCCGGAUUUAUUGGGCGUAAAGGGCUCGUAGGUGGUUGAUCGCGUCGGAAGUGUAAUCUUGGGGCUUAACCCUGAGCGUGCUUUCGAUACGGGUUGACUUGAGGAAGGUAGGGGAGAAUGGAAUUCCUGGUGGAGCGGUGGAAUGCGCAGAUAUCAGGAGGAACACCAGUGGCGAAGGCGGUUCUCUGGGCCUUUCCUGACGCUGAGGAGCGAAAGCGUGGGGAGCGAACAGGCUUAGAUACCCUGGUAGUCCACGCUGUAAACGGUGGGUACUAGGUGUGGGGUCCAUUCCACGGGUUCCGUGCCGUAGCUAACGCUUUAAGUAUCCCGCCUGGGGAGUACGGCCGCAAGGCUAAAACUCAAAGGAAUUGACGGGGCCCCGCACAAGCGGCGGAGCAUGCGGAUUAAUUCGAUGCAACGCGUAGAACCUUACCUGGGUUUGACAUGGAUCGGGAGUGCUCAGAGAUGGGUGUGCCUCUUUUGGGGUCGGUUCACAGGUGGUGCAUGCCUGUCGUCAGCUCGUGUCGUGAGAUGUUGGGUUAAGUCCCGCAACGAGCGCAACCCUUGUUCACUGUUGCCAGCACGUUAUGGUGGGGACUCAGUGGAGACCGCCGGGGUCAACUCGGAGGAAGGUGGGGAUGACGUCAAGUCAUCAUGCCCCUUAUGUCCAGGGCUUCACGCAUGCUACAAUGGCUGGUACAGAGAGUGGCGAGCCUGUGAGGGUGAGCGAAUCUCGGAAAGCCGGUCUCAGUUCGGAUUGGGGUCUGCAACUCGACCUCAUGAAGUCGGAGUCGCUAGUAAUCGCAGAUCAGCAACGCUGCGGCGAAUAAAUUCCCGGGGCU